GGCCGCAGGCCGAGUCUGAGCAGGGGGUGAGUGCUGCCCUCCCACCCCACGGGGAGGCCAGGGUGGUGCACGUGGGGCGGGGACCAGGCCACGCGCCGCCCCUGCUGGGACAGGGCGUUUAGCUGUAUUUGCCACACACUGACUCUCGUGGGUGAACCUUGUUGCCAAAUCAUUGAAGACGCACACUGGGCAUGUUGAGUCUGUAUCUCCUUUGAUGUUAACCGUAGGCAAGUCAUGGAAGAGGUACUUGGCGGAAGGUUCUGGAACCUGUAAAGUAUGGUGUUCGAUGAAGAAAGGAAGCAUAGGAAACUGGGCCAGGCAGCCACCGGCUUUUGUAGAUGAUGCGUUCCUGAGAUGUUUGCAAGUCCGAUGUCUGAGAGCUGACUUCCACGCACGAAGGGAACUUUGUUCCCAAAGAGCUAAAAUGAUUACAAACCUCCUAUUAGGGUCUGUCAGCAGCUCCAGCUCCAGGGGCCCGGUGGGUGGGUGAGACCCUCAAGAGGUGCCUGGGGCCUUGGGGAGGCCUAGGCAGUCCUUCUUCUUCCUGGCUGGGGCCCCCGGCCCUUCUUCCUUCACCCUCCUCACAUCUACCACGUUCCAAAUAUAUAUAUAUAUACACAUAUAUAUAUGUUUAAAAAAGGUGGACAGCAAGAUGCCAAGCGUCCUGUCUUUGUGGAGGUUGGGAGAAUGUUACUUCCUUCUCUCCUCCGUUCUGUUUGCCCCCAGUGCUCCAUAUGGAGCUGCUUGUGAUACACGGAGUAUGUGUUACUUGUGUAACGUGUAAGGAACAGCAUAUAGUCUCUAAAACAGAUCAAGUGGCAUUCACCAGGCUGCUUGCCCUCCUCGGUGGCUGGCUCCUGCAGUGCUGGGGGUCCCCUGCUCCGAGGCGGGGACAUGAUGAGGGAGACUGCCCGGAGGGUGCAGGGGAGGUGGAGGGGGAGCGGGAGGGGGGAGGAGGUGACUUGCUGGAAACCCCCAAGAGCAUCCAAGAGGAAACUUGCCCGAACUGAGCAGCCCGGGGCCAUCUUCAGCAGCCUAAGCAGGAAGCCGGCGCCAGGGAGCCUGGUCCGAAGGGGAAGCAAUGGCUCGUCCGCAUGUUUGCCAUCUGCCCGCGGGAUGACAGUGACCACAGCUGCCCCAGCUCCACGGAGUCUCAGCUCUGCUCUGACCUGAAUGCCACAUCCAACCGUGAGCUGGUGGACAGCUUCCGCUCCAGCAGCCCCCUGCCUCCCAGUCCGCAGUCCCUGUACAAGCGGGCCACGGAGGACUUCCGGGAAGACGCCUGGUCUUGCAGGUAACGGACUGGCAACGGGCUUCAGAUGGUGUGGGCCCCAGCAGCUCGCUGGGACACGGGCCGAGGGCGGGGCGGGUGCCAGGGGCUCUGGGUCUGAGUAGGGAGCGAGCAAUGCAGCCUGAGCCAUCUUCUCCCCAUGCUUCCCAGUGGCUUCCCAGAAAACCUGCCGGUGGACCGGGUACCCUCCCCGGGGGUGAAGGCAGGUGAUGCAGACCUGGAUUAUGAGAUUGUGGACAGGGCAGGUGAGUGCACCCCACCUGGGCCUCUGCAGCCCCCCCCCCGGCGGGGCCUAUGAGCAGGAGGAGAGGUGAGAACAGGGGUCUUCAGGGAGGCAGGUGAGACAGCCCGGUACCUCUCCAGGGAUUGGGCCCAGGCAUUGAGCUUCACUGCUGCCCCAGCCCGGGCCUCUGGGAAGUCCCGAGUACCUGGUCAUUCAAGUCCAUGCCAUUUACUGGGCGUCCUUUCUGUCUCUCACCCUGAAGCCAAGGCAGUUGUGUCCAUCCUCCCGUCCAUGUCAGCAUUAACGCUCAGACGGCCCCAGACACACGAGUUCUCUCUACCCCUCCCAGCUCUGGUCUGGGGACACUUAGCUUUCCCAGUGACCUCAGAAGGCAGCAGGCUUUAGUCACCCCCUUCCCACCUCCCUCCCCUGGAAGAGGCAUCUGCUGGGAACCUCUCUCCUCCCGGGUGUGGCACCUGAGACCUUCCCACAUCUCCUGUGGCUAAUUCCUCAUAUUUGUGACUUGACUG
This is a long non-coding RNA of Ailuropoda melanoleuca (giant panda), 2044 nucleotides long. The record is from Ensembl. Lineage: Eukaryota; Metazoa; Chordata; Mammalia; Carnivora; Ursidae.